GUGAGGAAUAUUGGUCAAUGGGCGAGAGCCUGAACCAGCCAAGUCGCGUGAAGGAAGAAGGAUCUAUGGUUCGUAAACUUCUUUUGCAGGGGAAUAAAGUGCGGGACGUGUCCUGUUUUGUAUGUACCCUGAGAAUAAGGAUCGGCUAACUCCGUGCCAGCAGCCGCGGUAAUACGGAGGAUCCGAGCGUUAUCCGGAUAUAUUGGUUUUAAAGGGUGCGUAGGUGGUUUGAUAAGUCAGCGGUGAAAGUUUGCAGCUUAACUGUAAAAAUGCAGUUGAAACUGUCGGACUUGAGUGUAAAUGAGGUAGGCGGAAUGCGUGGUGUAGCGGUGAAAUGCAUAGAUAUCACGCAGAACUCCGAUUGCGAAGGCAGCUUACUAAGCUACAACUGACACUGAAGCACGCAAGCGUGGGGAUCAAACAGGAUUAGAUACCCCAGUAGUCC
This 445-nucleotide ribosomal RNA is filed under the name uncultured bacterium. Its description in RNAcentral is "partial 16S ribosomal RNA". It matches the Rfam family "Bacterial small subunit ribosomal RNA", at positions 354 to 796 of the family's 1533-position model. The record is from RNAcentral.